Molecule: ribosomal RNA, 438 nt
Filed under: uncultured bacterium
Lineage: Bacteria
Description: bacterial SSU rRNA
Rfam family: Bacterial small subunit ribosomal RNA
Source: RNAcentral
AGCGAACGCUGGCGGCAGGCUUAACACAUGCAAGUCGAGCGGGCGUAGCAAUACGUCAGCGGCAGACGGGUGAGUAACGCGUGGGAACAUACCUUUUGGUUCGGAACAACACAGGGAAACUUGUGCUAAUACCGGAUAAGCCCUUACGGGGAAAGAUUUAUCGCCGAAAGAUUGGCCCGCGUCUGAUUAGCUUGUUGGUGAGGUAACGGCUCACCAAGGCGACGAUCAGUAGCNGGUCUGAGAGGACAAUCAGCCACACUGGCACUGCGACACGGGCCAGACUCCUACGGGAGGCAGCAGUAAGGAAUAUUGCGCAAUGGGCGAAAGCCUGACGCAGCGACGCCGCGUGGGGGAUGAAGGUCUUCGGAUUGUAAACCCUUUCGGAGGGAAGAUGGAACGAGCAAUCGUUCGGACGGUACCUCCAGAAGCAGCCACGGC